RNAcentral lists this transfer RNA (70 nucleotides) under Dipodomys ordii (Ord's kangaroo rat). It matches the Rfam family "tRNA". From Rfam's summary of the family: Transfer RNA (tRNA) molecules are approximately 80 nucleotides in length. Their secondary structure includes four short double-helical elements and three loops (D, anti-codon, and T loops). The record is from Rfam by way of RNAcentral. Lineage: Eukaryota; Metazoa; Chordata; Mammalia; Rodentia; Heteromyidae.
GGGAAUGUGGCCUAGUGGUAAAGUGCUUGCCUAGCAUGCAUGAAGCCCUAGGUUCGAUUCCUCAGUGCCA